RNAcentral lists this ribosomal RNA (497 nucleotides) under uncultured bacterium. RNAcentral describes it as "partial 16S ribosomal RNA". It matches the Rfam family "Bacterial small subunit ribosomal RNA", at positions 28 to 507 of the family's 1533-position model. The record is from RNAcentral.
GAUGAACGCUGGCGGCGUGCUUAAUACAUGCAAGUCGAGCGAACAGACGAGGAUUUUGCUGCGCGGACGAUAGCGGCGGACGGGAGAGUAACACGUGGAUAAUCUACUUAUAAGACGGGGAUAACUUCGGGAAACCGGAGAUAAUAGCGGAUAAGAUACUGAACCGCAUGGGUCGAUAGUGAAAGACGGUGUUGGGGGCACGUCUAGAUGGAUCCGCGCCGCAUUAGCUGGUUGGGAGGGUAACGGCCUAUCAAGGCAAGGAGGCGUAUCCGACCUGAGAGGGUGGUCGGCGACCCUGGAAGUUGACCGCGGUCCUGACUCCUACGGGAGGCAGCAGUCGGGAACCUUCGGCAGUGGGCGGGAGCCUUGCACAGCGGCGGGGCGUGAGUGACGAAGGUCUUCGGAUCGUAAAGCUCUCUUAUGAGGGAUGAACCGCUUUGUCCGUAAACGUAGCCGUCUUGACGGUAACUGGUCAAGAAGCCACGGCUAACUACGUG